This 115-nucleotide ribosomal RNA is filed under the name Ligilactobacillus murinus. RNAcentral describes it as "Lactobacillus murinus partial 16S ribosomal RNA". It matches the Rfam family "Bacterial small subunit ribosomal RNA", at positions 1 to 93 of the family's 1533-position model. Lineage: Bacteria; Bacillati; Bacillota; Bacilli; Lactobacillales; Lactobacillaceae. The record is from RNAcentral.
UUUAAAUUGAGAGUUUGAUCCUGGCUCAGGAUGAACGCUGGCGGCGUGCCUAAUACAUGCAAGUCGAACGAAACUUCUUUAUCACCGAGUGCUUGCACUCACCGAUAAAGAGUUG